Gossypium raimondii (Peruvian cotton) is the source of this 87-nucleotide non-coding RNA. NCBI's taxonomy places the organism in Eukaryota, Viridiplantae, Streptophyta, Magnoliopsida, Malvales, Malvaceae. The record is from Rfam.
CACGUCAGCGCGACCUGCUGACGUGGAAAGAAAUUGCGGCCUUGAGGGAUCGAUUUCCUUCCACGUCAGCAGGUCGCGCUGACGGGG